UGGGGAAUAUUGGACAAUGGGCGAAAGCCUGAUCCAGCCAUGCCGCGUGUGUGAAGAAGGUCUUCGGAUUGUAAAGCACUUUAAGUUGGGAGGAAGGGCAUUAACCUAAUACGUUAGUGUUUUGACGUUACCGACAGAAUAAGAACCGGCUAACUCUGUGCCAGCAGCCGCGGUAAUACAGAGGGUGCAAGCGUUAAUCGGCAUUACUGGGCGUAAAGCGCGCGUAGGUGGUUUGUUAAGUUGGAUGUGAAAUCCCCGGGCUCAACCUGGGAACUGCAUUCAAAACUGACUGACUAGAGUAUGGUAGAGGGUGGUGGAAUUUCCUGUGUAGCGGUGAAAUGCGUAGAUAUAGGAAGGAACACCAGUGGCGAAGGCGACCACCUGGACUAAUACUGACACUGAGGUGCGAAAGCGUGGGGAGCAAACA
RNAcentral lists this ribosomal RNA (427 nucleotides) under uncultured bacterium. RNAcentral's name for it is "partial 16S ribosomal RNA". It matches the Rfam family "Bacterial small subunit ribosomal RNA", at positions 355 to 774 of the family's 1533-position model. The record is from RNAcentral.